UCUCACCUUCUAAUCUUUCAGGUACAACACAGGUAUCGUCAAAGUAGAGUUGAGAAUCUCUGUCGAAGGAGAAACCUGAAAGAAAAUACGUUUAUUCAGACGCACGUCCCCGGUAUGAAGGAAGACUACUCACAGCUAUCCGACUGGAAGUCUGGAACAAACUGCUCGUCGUCCGGCACCUGGGCUGUGGACGACACAGAUGGAGGAACGAGUGGUAGCAGCAGCUGCCAGAUGUGGUGGCGCCAAAAAAAACCUGGACAUCGCAUUCAAUGCUUUUUUUACCGCCUUCCUUUUCAACAAAUCCAUUUGAAGACCCGUGGAAACCUUCGUUCCUUACCUUCUGCGAUCCAGAGAUCCUGCAGCUGACUGAGAUCUUGGAAGAGUUCUGCGAAUCAGAAAGACCCAGAAGAAUAUCAGGGCACUGCGUCGAAAUCAUCGCCUUGAUGGUCAAGUCCGUCACGUACCUUCCGUGUCCUGGGCCAGCUCCGUGUCCACAAACUUCCUCUUCCGCUCGUUUGAAACCC
This is a long non-coding RNA of Nerophis lumbriciformis (worm pipefish), 524 nucleotides long. RefSeq lists it as uncharacterized. The record is from RefSeq and is a predicted model, not a curated record. Lineage: Eukaryota; Metazoa; Chordata; Actinopteri; Syngnathiformes; Syngnathidae.